Molecule: transfer RNA, 75 nt
Filed under: Pasteurella multocida
Lineage: Bacteria; Pseudomonadati; Pseudomonadota; Gammaproteobacteria; Pasteurellales; Pasteurellaceae
Description: tRNA-OTHER
Rfam family: tRNA
About the family: Transfer RNA (tRNA) molecules are approximately 80 nucleotides in length. Their secondary structure includes four short double-helical elements and three loops (D, anti-codon, and T loops). Further hydrogen bonds mediate the characteristic L-shaped molecular structure. tRNAs have two regions of fundamental functional importance: the anti-codon, which is responsible for specific mRNA codon recognition, and the 3' end, to which the tRNAs corresponding amino acid is attached (by aminoacyl-tRNA synthetases). tRNAs cope with the degeneracy of the genetic code in two manners: having more than one tRNA (with a specific anti-codon) for a particular amino acid; and 'wobble' base-pairing, i.e. permitting non-standard base-pairing at the 3rd anti-codon position.
Source: RNAcentral
GGGGAUAUAGCUCAGCUGGGAGAGCGCCUGCCUUGCCGCAGGAGGUCAGCGGUUCGAUCCCGCUUAUCUCCACCA